AUAAGUGCUGAAAGCAUCUAAGCACGAAACUUGCCCCGAGAUGAGUUCUCCCUGAGACUUUAAGUCUCCUGAAGGAACGUUAAAGACGAUGACGUUGAUAGGCCGGGUGUGUAAGCGCAGCGAUGCGUUGAGCUAACCGGUACUAAUGAACCGUGAGGCUUAACCUUACAACGCCGAAG
RNAcentral lists this ribosomal RNA (179 nucleotides) under Klebsiella pneumoniae. RNAcentral's name for it is "partial 23S ribosomal RNA". It matches the Rfam family "Bacterial large subunit ribosomal RNA", at positions 2764 to 2925 of the family's 2925-position model. The record is from RNAcentral. Lineage: Bacteria; Pseudomonadati; Pseudomonadota; Gammaproteobacteria; Enterobacterales; Enterobacteriaceae.